This 253-nucleotide ribosomal RNA is filed under the name uncultured bacterium. RNAcentral's name for it is "partial 16S ribosomal RNA". It matches the Rfam family "Bacterial small subunit ribosomal RNA", at positions 524 to 776 of the family's 1533-position model. The record is from RNAcentral.
UACGUAGGGUGCAAGCGUUAAUCGGAAUUACUGGGCGUAAAGCGUGCGCAGGCGGUUUUGUAAGUCUGUCGUGAAAUCCCCGGGCUCAACCUGGGAAUGGCGAUGGAGACUGCAAGGCUAGAGUUUGGCAGAGGGGGGUAGAAUUCCACGUGUAGCAGUGAAAUGCGUAGAGAUGUGGAGGAACACCGAUGGCGAAGGCAGCCCCCUGGGUCAAAACUGACGCUCAUGCACGAAAGCGUGGGGAGCAAACAGG